Long non-coding RNA from Mauremys mutica (yellowpond turtle), 536 nucleotides. RefSeq lists it as uncharacterized. Lineage: Eukaryota; Metazoa; Chordata; Testudines; Geoemydidae. The record is from RefSeq and is a predicted model, not a curated record. The transcript has 3 exons.
CUGGUCCAUGGUAAAUCUUCUUUGUGGUGCCAUUAUCUUUGAGUUCCUGAAAUCGUUUGUUUGAUUGAACUGCAGCAGAGGCAUUUUGUCAUCCUCACCAACUGCCAACAACAAUAAAGUAAUAGAACAAGAUCUUAGCCUGAAAUGAAGAGUCAGUUUGAAGCAGAAAACGGACAUGGUCCCUGCCAAAAAAAGCUUCUCCUGCGUGUGACACCAAGAGCAGAGGGCAAAGAGAAGCUGCUGGAAAGUGAAAACGCCUGCAGAAAGAGAGGCUGAUGUUAUUCGGAGGAGCUUCAUUUAUCACAGCCUGGUACACAUUAUCAAGCAAUCUAGAUGAUGUUUGACAACACAGUUGACCUCCCCCUUCUCCACCCCCACAUGCACUGACAUGGGGAAACAACAUGGAGCCUUUCACUGGAAGUGCUGUUUACAAAAUACUGCAUUUUCUUUCCAAAAUUCCACAGCAAGAGGCAGUCAGCAGCUUCAGCGCAUGCCAGCGUGAACUGGAGCAUUUCCUAGGCUGACUUGCUUUCAGU